AGCCGGAAUUGCUAGUAAUGGCAGGUCAGCAUACUGCCGUGAAUACGUUCCCGGGCCUUGUACACACCGCCCGUCACACCAUGAGAGUUGGGGAUACCCGAAGCCUGUGAGCCAACUGUAAAGAGGCAGCAGUCGAAGGUAGAAUCAAUGAUUGGGGUGAAGUCGUAACAAGGUAGC
RNAcentral lists this ribosomal RNA (177 nucleotides) under uncultured bacterium. RNAcentral describes it as "partial 16S ribosomal RNA". It matches the Rfam family "Bacterial small subunit ribosomal RNA", at positions 1324 to 1500 of the family's 1533-position model. The record is from RNAcentral.